GGAAUGUGGCUCAGUGGUAGAGUACUUGCCUAGUAAGCACAAGGCCCUAGGUUCGCUACCUCAGCACCG
RNAcentral lists this transfer RNA (69 nucleotides) under Marmota monax (woodchuck). RNAcentral's name for it is "tRNA.Thr". Lineage: Eukaryota; Metazoa; Chordata; Mammalia; Rodentia; Sciuridae. The record is from RNAcentral.